This 238-nucleotide ribosomal RNA is filed under the name uncultured bacterium. Its description in RNAcentral is "partial 16S ribosomal RNA". It matches the Rfam family "Bacterial small subunit ribosomal RNA", at positions 115 to 353 of the family's 1533-position model. The record is from RNAcentral.
GUCUGGGAAACUGCCUGAUGGAGGGGGAGUAACUACUGGAAACGGUAGCUAAUACCGCAUAACGUCGCAAGACCAAAGAGGGGGACCUUCGGGCCUCUUGCCAUCGGAUGUGCCCAGAUGGGAUUAGCUAGUAGGUGGGGUAACGGCUCACCUAGGCGACGAUCCCUAGCUGGUCUGAGAGGAUGACCAGCCACACUGGAACUGAGACACGGUCCAGACUCCUACGGGAGGCAGCAUG